Molecule: non-coding RNA, 28 nt
Filed under: Mus musculus (house mouse)
Lineage: Eukaryota; Metazoa; Chordata; Mammalia; Rodentia; Muridae
Source: RNAcentral
GCCUCAGAGAAUAUUUAACCACCUGUUA